Non-coding RNA from Henosepilachna vigintioctopunctata, 73 nucleotides. The record is from the annotation of a GenBank genome assembly. Lineage: Eukaryota; Metazoa; Arthropoda; Insecta; Coleoptera; Coccinellidae.
GCCUCCAUGUCUCAGUCGGGAAAACACCCGACUUUGGUGCGGUAAGAUUCGGGUUCGAGUCCCGGUGAAGGCU